This 495-nucleotide ribosomal RNA is filed under the name uncultured bacterium. Its description in RNAcentral is "partial 16S ribosomal RNA". It matches the Rfam family "Bacterial small subunit ribosomal RNA", at positions 28 to 508 of the family's 1533-position model. The record is from RNAcentral.
GACGAACGCUGGCGGCGUGCUUAACACAUGCAAGUCGAACGGAAAGGCCUGCUUUCCCUUGUGGAUUGCGGGUACUCGAGUGGCGAACGGGUGAGUAACACGUGAGUGAUCUGCCCCCAACUUGGGUAUAAGCCUGGGAAACUGGGUCUAAUUCCCGAUAGGACUGCAGGGUGGUGCCUGUGGUGGAAAACGAUUUUCUAGUGGUUGGGGAUGAGCUCGCGGCCUAUCAGCUUGUUGGUGGGGUAAUGGCCUACCAAGGCGGCGACGGGUAGCCGGCCUGAGAGGGUGGACGGCCACAUUGGGACUGAGAUACGGCCCAGACUCCUACGGGAGGCAGCAGUGGGGAAUAUUGCACAAUGGGCGGAAGCCUGAUGCAGCGACGCCGCGUGGGGGAGGACGGCCUUCGGGGUGUAAACUCCUUUCGACCGCGAGGAAGCCACCUGGUUGGAAGGGUGGUGACGGUAGUGGUAGAAGAAGCGCCGGCUAACUACGUGC